GAUGAACGCUAGCUACAGGCUUAACACAUGCAAGUCGCGGGGCAGCAUGGGGGUUGCUUGCAACCCCUGAUGGCGACCGGCGCACGGGUGAGUAACGCGUAUCCAACCUGCCCUUCACCACGGGAUAACCCGGCGAAAGUCGGACUAAUACCGUAUGUUGUCCAUUGACGGCAUCCGAUUUGGACGAAAGGCUGGGCGGUGCAAGGGUGGGGAUGCGUCCGAUUAGCUUGACGGCGGGGUAACGGCCCACCGUGGCUACGAUCGGUAGGGGUUCUGAGAGGAAGGGCCCCCACACGGGAACUGAGACACGGUCCAGACUCCUACGGGAGGCAGCAGUGAGGAAUAUUGGUCAAUGGGCGUAAGCCUGAACCAGCCAAGUAGCGUGCAGGAUGACGGCCCCAUGGGUUGUAAACUGCUUUUAUGCGGGGAUAAAGUGGCCCACGUGUGGGCUUUUGCAGGUACCGCAUGAAUAAGGACCGGCUAAUUCCGUG
This 491-nucleotide ribosomal RNA is filed under the name uncultured bacterium. Its description in RNAcentral is "partial 16S ribosomal RNA". It matches the Rfam family "Bacterial small subunit ribosomal RNA", at positions 28 to 507 of the family's 1533-position model. The record is from RNAcentral.